UAAAAUUUAAAAUUCACGCCUUUUUAUUUUUCUGUUGAUAUUCAAACAUUCAAGCUUCUAUUUGAGAGAGUGUGAGAAGACAUCAGUAUCAAAAAAUCCUCAAGAAAAUGGCUAAAGUUGUUAGAUCUCUGUGGUUGAUGCUUGUUGCAAUCUUCAUGAUUUCAAUUGUUCUGCAAACCCCAAACAUGGUUGAAGGUAGGGAGGCGAUGCAAGUGAGGAAAUUACAAGAAUGCCCCUCUCGUUGCACGAGCGAUGCGCAGUGCGUUAGCUUGAAGUGUGGAGUGAGAUGUUUGAGAAUUUCAGCUCUUAAGAGCAUUUGCUCUGAGAUUUAGGUUCAACUUUUGUUAAUCUGUGGCAAAAUGAAUGAAUCUCUAUUUUUUAUUCUGCAAUUAAAAAAAAAUAUUACUGCUAUUGUUUUUUUCUGAUUGUAAAGAUCUCAUUGUUAUGGAAUUUGAAUGAAGCUAUUUGGUAAUGAGAAAUGAUUGAAAUGAAUUCUCUAUUUUA
This is a long non-coding RNA of Salvia hispanica, 504 nucleotides long. RefSeq lists it as uncharacterized. NCBI's taxonomy places the organism in Eukaryota, Viridiplantae, Streptophyta, Magnoliopsida, Lamiales, Lamiaceae. The record is from RefSeq and is a predicted model, not a curated record.